This 329-nucleotide ribosomal RNA is filed under the name uncultured eukaryote. RNAcentral describes it as "partial 18S ribosomal RNA". It matches the Rfam family "Eukaryotic small subunit ribosomal RNA", at positions 1470 to 1796 of the family's 1831-position model. The record is from RNAcentral.
CCCUUAGAUGUUCUGGGCCGCACGCGCGCUACACUGAUGCAUUCAACAAGCCUAGCCUUGACCGAGAGGUCCGGGUAAUCUUUGAAACUGCAUCGUGAUGGGGCUAGAUUAUUGCAAUUAUUAAUCUUCAACGAGGAAUGCCUAGUAAGCGUGAUUCAUCAAAUCGCGUUGAUUACGUCCCUGCCCUUUGUACACACCGCCCGUCGCUACUACCGAUUGAAUGGUUUAGUGAGAUCUCCGGAUUGGCUUCCUUGGUACCUUCGCGGGUCCAACGUGAAGCCGAGAAGCUGCUCAAACUUGAUCAUUUAGAGGAAGUAAAAGUCGUAACA